GACGAAGGAUCCAAGCGUUAUCCGGAUUUAUUGGGUUUAAAGGGUGCGUAGGCGGAUCGAUAAGUCAGUGGUGAAAGCCUGUUGCUUAACAACAGAACUGCCAUUGAUACUGUCAAUCUUGAAUAUGUUUGAUGUGGGCGGAAUAUGACAUGUAGCGGUGAAAUGCUUAGAUAUGUCAUAGAACACCGAUGGCGAAGGCAGCCCCCUGGGUCAAGAUUGACGCUCAUGCACGAAAGCGUGGGGAGCAAACAGG
Molecule: ribosomal RNA, 253 nt
Filed under: uncultured bacterium
Lineage: Bacteria
Description: partial 16S ribosomal RNA
Rfam family: Bacterial small subunit ribosomal RNA
Source: RNAcentral